Molecule: ribosomal RNA, 467 nt
Filed under: uncultured bacterium
Lineage: Bacteria
Description: partial 16S ribosomal RNA
Rfam family: Bacterial small subunit ribosomal RNA
Source: RNAcentral
GACGAACGCUGGCGGCGUGCUUAACACAUGCAAGUCGAACGGAAAGGCCCUGCUUUUGUGGGGUGCUCGAGUGGCGAACGGGUGAGUAACACGUGAGUAACCUGCCCUUGACUUUGGGAUAACUUCAGGAAACUGGGGCUAAUACCGGAUAGGAGCUCCUGCUGCAUGGUGGGGGUUGGAAAGUUUCGGCGGUUGGGGAUGGACUCGCGGCUUAUCAGCUUGUUGGUGGGGUAGUGGCUUACCAAGGCUUUGACGGGUAGCCGGCCUGAGAGGGUGACCGGCAACAUUGGGACUGAGAUACGGCCCAGACUCCUACGGGAGGCAGCAGUGGGGAAUAUUGCACAAUGGGCGGAAGCCUGAUGCAGCAACGCCGCGUGCGGGAUGACGGCCUUCGGGUUGUAAACCGCUUUCGCCUGUGACGAAGCGUGAGGGACGGUAAUGGGUAAAGAAGCACCGGCUACUACGUG